AUGAAGUGCCUAGAAAAAAUGGUACUUACUCACAUCAAUUCUGUGGUCCCUGAUACCGUUGACCCUCUACAGUUUGCUUACCGGCCUAAUAGAUCGAUGGACGAUGCGGUGGCCAUGGCCCUCCACUACAUUCUACAACACCUGGACUGUAGCAGAACAUAUAUCAGGAUGCUUUUCCUGGACUAUAGUUCUGCUUUUAACACCAUUCGGCCAGGAAAGAUGAUCACCAAGCUGACUGACCUUGGGGUCCAGACUGCCACCUGCAACUGGAUUCUGGACUUCCUCACAAACAGACCGCAGGUGGUGAUGAUGGGAAGAAGGGUCUCUGGUGAGCUCACGGUCAGCACAGGAUCACCGGAGGUCUGUUGUCUCAGCCCGAAACUCUUUACUUUGUACACUUAUCACUGUGACUCUACCCAGGACGACACGGUUGUCAUCAAGUACACCGACGACACAACCAUCCUUGGUCUCAUUAAGGGUGAGGACAAGUCAGGGUACAGGGCCUCGGUCAACAGCAUUCUGGUCUAUGGUGAAGAGAACGACCUCAUCCUCAAUGUAGACAAGACGAGGGAGUUAAUCAUAGACUUCAGGAAGAAAUCUCCCCCUCUGCAGUCUCUCAUCAUCAGGGGGACUGAGGUGGAGAGGGUUGACAGUCACAAGUUUUUGGGGCUUCAGGUGACAACGAACCUGAGCUGGACUGAAAAUACUGCUACCAUAGUGAAAAAGGCUCAGAAACGGUUUUAUUUUAUCAGACUGCUCAGAAAGGCUGGAGUGAGCCUUCGUCCCCUCACACAAGUCUAUAGAGGUCUUGUGGAGAGCAUCCUCACUACUGCUAUCACUGUCUGGUAUGGCAACACCACCCAGGCAGAGAGGAAGGCCCUCCAGAGAGUGGUGAAGACAGCAGAGAGGAUCAUUGCGACUGAUCUUCCAUCUAUGGAUAACAUUUAUACACAACGCUGUAAGAAAAAAGCCCAGAAAAUCAUUGGCGAUAUACAUCACCCAGCUCACCUUUUCUUCAGGUGCAAAAAGUCAGUUUAG
Molecule: long non-coding RNA, 1038 nt
Filed under: Scleropages formosus (Asian bonytongue)
Lineage: Eukaryota; Metazoa; Chordata; Actinopteri; Osteoglossiformes; Osteoglossidae
Description: lncRNA (ENSSFOG00015032246.1)
Source: RNAcentral